Molecule: transfer RNA, 77 nt
Filed under: Candidatus Profftella armatura (Diaphorina cf. continua)
Lineage: Bacteria; Pseudomonadati; Pseudomonadota; Betaproteobacteria
Description: tRNA-Met
Rfam family: tRNA
About the family: Transfer RNA (tRNA) molecules are approximately 80 nucleotides in length. Their secondary structure includes four short double-helical elements and three loops (D, anti-codon, and T loops).
Source: RNAcentral
AGCGGGAUGGAGCAGUUUGGUAGCUCGUCGGGCUCAUAACCCGAAGGUCGUAGGUUCAAAUCCUACUCCCGCAACCA